Molecule: ribosomal RNA, 497 nt
Filed under: uncultured bacterium
Lineage: Bacteria
Description: partial 16S ribosomal RNA
Rfam family: Bacterial small subunit ribosomal RNA
Source: RNAcentral
GAUGAACGCUGGCGGCGUGCCUAACACAUGCAAGUCGAGCGGACAGACGAGGCUUUUGCUCCUCUUACGUUAGCGGCGGACGGGUGAGUCACACGAGUAUAACCUACCUAUAAGACUGAGAUCACUUCGCGAGAGCGGAUACAACACCGGAUAAUAUAUUGAACCGCGUGGUUCAAUGGAGAAAGACGGAUUUGCUGUCCCUAAUAGAUGGUUCCGGGCCGGAUUAGCUAGGUGGUACGGUAACGGCCUACCAAGGCUACGAUGCGUAGCCGAUCGGUGAGGGGGAUCGGCCACACUGGAACUGAGACAGGGUCCAGACUCCUGCGGGAGGCAGCAGUAGGGAAUCUUACGCAAUGGGCGAAAGCCUGACGGAGCAACGCCGCGUGAGUGAUGAAGGUCUUCGGAUCGUAAAACUCUGUUAUUAGGGAAGAACAAAUGUGUAAGUAACUAUGCACGUCUUGACGGUACCUAAUCAGAAAGCCACGGCUAACUACGUG